GCAUAACGCGAAGAACCUUACCCACCUUUGACAUGUACGGAAUCCUUUAGAGAUAGAGGAGUGCUCGAAAGAGAGCCGUAACACAGGUGCUGCAUGGCUGUCGCCAGCUCGUGUCGUGAGAUGUUGGGUUAAGUCCCGCAACGAGCGCAACCCUUGCCAUUAGUUGCUACAUUUAGUUGAGCACUCUAAUGGGACUGCCGGUGACAAACCGGAGGAAGGUGGGGAUGACGUCAAGUCCUCAUGGCCCUUAUAGGUGGGGCUACACACGUCAUACAAUGGCUGGUACAAAGGGUUGCCAACCCGCGAGGGGGAGCUAAUCCCAUAAAGCCAGUCGUAGUCCGGAUCGCAGUCUGCAACUCGACUGCGUGAAGUCGGAAUCGCUAGUAAUCGUGGAUCAGAAUGUCACGGUGAAUACGUUCCCGGGUCUUGUACACACCG
RNAcentral lists this ribosomal RNA (438 nucleotides) under uncultured bacterium. RNAcentral describes it as "bacterial SSU rRNA". It matches the Rfam family "Bacterial small subunit ribosomal RNA", at positions 954 to 1392 of the family's 1533-position model. The record is from RNAcentral.